RNAcentral lists this ribosomal RNA (350 nucleotides) under uncultured fungus. Its description in RNAcentral is "SSU rRNA". It matches the Rfam family "Eukaryotic small subunit ribosomal RNA", at positions 20 to 370 of the family's 1831-position model. Lineage: Eukaryota; Fungi. The record is from RNAcentral.
GUAGUCAUAUGCUUGUCUCAAAGAUUAAGCCAUGCAUGUCUAAGUAUAAACAACUUAUACUGUGAAACUGCGAAUGGCUCAUUAAAUCAGUUAUAGUUUAUUUGAUAAUACCUACUACUUGGAUAACCGUAGUAAUUCUAGAGCUAAUACAUGCGAAAAAACCCGACUUCUGGAAGGGUUGUAUUUAUUAGAUACAAAACCAAUGCGGGGCAACCCGGUUCUUUGGUGAGUCAUAAUAACUUUGCGGAGCGUAUGGCCUUGUGCUGACGCCGAUUCAUUCAAAUUUCUGCCCUAUCAACUUUCGAUGGUAAGGUAUUGGCUUACCAUGGUUGCAACGGGUAACGGGGAAU